CACGUAGGGUGCGAGCGUUGUCCGGAAUUAUUGGGCGUAAAGAGCUCGUAGGCGGUGUGUCGCGUCGGCCGUGAAAACCUGCAGCUUAACUGUAGGCUUGCGGUCGAUACGGGCAUCACUGGAGUUCGGCAGGGGAGACUGGAAUUCCUGGUGUAGCGGUGAAAUGCGCAGAUAUCAGGAGGAACACCGGUGGCGAAGGCGGGUCUCUGGGCCGGUACUGACGCUGAGGAGCGAAAGCGUGGGGAGCGAACAGG
RNAcentral lists this ribosomal RNA (254 nucleotides) under uncultured bacterium. RNAcentral describes it as "partial 16S ribosomal RNA". It matches the Rfam family "Bacterial small subunit ribosomal RNA", at positions 524 to 776 of the family's 1533-position model. The record is from RNAcentral.